RNAcentral lists this ribosomal RNA (457 nucleotides) under uncultured bacterium. RNAcentral's name for it is "partial 16S ribosomal RNA". It matches the Rfam family "Bacterial small subunit ribosomal RNA", at positions 355 to 799 of the family's 1533-position model. The record is from RNAcentral.
UGGGGAAUUUUGGACAAUGGGCGAAAGCCUGAUCCAGCAAUGCCGCGUGUGUGAAGAAGGCCUUCGGGUUGUAAAGCACUUUUGUCCGGAAAGAAAUCCUUGGCUCUAAGUACAGUCGGGGGAUCGACGGUACCGGAAGAAUAAGCACCGGCUAACUACGUGCCAGCAGCCGCGGUAAUACGUAGGGUGCAAGGCNUUAAUCGGAAUUACUGGGCGUAAAGCGUGCGCAGGCGGUUUGCUAAGACCGAUGUGAAAUCCCCGGGCUCAACCUGGGAAACUGCAUUGGUGACUGGCAGGCUAGAGUAUGGCAGAGGGGGGUAGAAUUCCACGUGUAGGCAGUGAAAAUGCGUAGAGAUGUGGAGGAAUACCGAUGGCGAAGGCAGCCCCCUGGGCAAUACUGACGCUCAUGCACGAAAGCGUGGGGAGCAAACAGGAUUAGAUACCCUGGUAGUCCACG